UACGGGAGGCAGCAGUGGGGAAUAUUGGACAAUGGGCGGAAGCCUGAUCCAGCCAUGCCGCGUGUGUGAAGAAGGCCUUUUGGUUGUAAAGCACUUUAAGCGAGGAGGAGGCUCUCCUAGUUAAUACCUAGGAAGAGUGGACGUUACUCGCAGAAUAAGCACCGGCUAACUCUGUGCCAGCAGCCGCGGUAAUACAGAGGGUGCGAGCGUUAAUCGGAUUUACUGGGCGUAAAGCGUGCGUAGGCGGCUGAUUAAGUCGGAUGUGAAAUCCCCUGAGCUUAACUUAGGAAUUGCAUUCGAUACUGGUCAGCUAGAGUAUGGGAGAGGAUGGUAGAAUUCCAAGUGUAGCGGUGAAAUGCGUAGAGAUCUGGAGGAAUACCGAUGGGCGAAGGGCAGCCAUCUGGGCCUAAUACUGACGCUGAGGUACGAAAGCAUGGGGAAGCAAACAGGAUUAGAAUAACC
This 462-nucleotide ribosomal RNA is filed under the name uncultured bacterium. Its description in RNAcentral is "bacterial SSU rRNA". It matches the Rfam family "Bacterial small subunit ribosomal RNA", at positions 340 to 787 of the family's 1533-position model. The record is from RNAcentral.